UUGGAAGCAGCCAUUCAUUUAAAGAGUGCGUAACAGCUCACUAGUCGAGGAGUUUUGCAUGGAUAAUAAUCGGGCAUAAGCCCUUUACCGAAGCUGUGGAUGUCGCAAGACAUGGUAGGGGAGCAUUCCGGCGGCGACGAAGGCCGUCCUCGAGGACGACUGGAGCUUUCGGAAAAGCAAAUGUAGGUAUAAGUAACGAUAAAGGGGGCGUGAAACCCCCUCGCCAUAAGACUAAGGAUUCCUGAUCAACGCUAAUCGGAUCAGGGUAAGUCGGGCCCUAAGGCGCAGCCGAACGGCGUAGCCGAUGGAAGAAACGGUAAAGAUUCCGUUACUGGAUAUAGGAGCGAUGUGGAGACGGAGAAGUGACACACCCGCCUGCCGACGGAAGCGCAGGUUAAAGGAAGUAGGUAAACGCCGGGCAGGCAAAUCCGCCUGGCGUGCCGAAACUGACAGUAUCGAGAGCCCCCGGGCAAUCGAAUAGCGGUGGUAAUCAGGCUCCCAAGAAAAUCCGCUAAGCAUAUUCUAUAUCCACCCGUACCCCAAACGGACACACGUAGUCGGGUAGAAUAUACCAAGGCGCUCGAAAGACUCACGGUUAAGGAACUAGGCAAAUUGACCCUGUAACCUCGGGAAAAAGGGUCCCCAGUAAGAUGGGGCGCAGAGAAUAGGUCCAGGCAACUGUUUAACAAAAACACAGGGCUGUGCGAAAUUUCAAGAUGAAGUAUACAGCCUGACACCUGCCCGGUGCCGGAAGGUUAAGAGGAGAGCUAAUCGCAAGAGAAGGCUUGAAUUGAAGCCCCGGUAAACGGCGGCCGUAACUAUAACGGUCCUAAGGUAGCGAAAUUCCUUGUCGGGUAAGUUCCGACCUGCACGAAUGGUGUAAUGAUCUGGACACUGUCUCAACCGUGACUUCGGUGAAAUUGUAGUAUCGGUGAAGAUGCCGAUUACCCGCAACGGGACGAAAAGACCCCGUGAACCUUUACUGCAACUUAGCAUUGCGUUUGGGCAUUUGAUGUGUAGGAUAGUCCGGAGGCUACGAGUCGGCGACGCCAGUCGUCGAGGAGCCGCUGUUGAAAUACGGACCUUCGAAUGUUUGAGCGCUAACUCGCAGGAGCGAGGACACUGUUUGGUGGGUAGUUUGACUGGGGUGGUCGCCUCCAAAAGCGUAACGGAGGCUUCUA
Molecule: ribosomal RNA, 1181 nt
Filed under: human gut metagenome
Description: bacterial LSU rRNA
Rfam family: Bacterial large subunit ribosomal RNA
Source: RNAcentral